This 910-nucleotide ribosomal RNA is filed under the name uncultured bacterium. RNAcentral describes it as "bacterial SSU rRNA". It matches the Rfam family "Bacterial small subunit ribosomal RNA", at positions 8 to 916 of the family's 1533-position model. The record is from RNAcentral.
AGAGUUUGAUCCUGGCUCAGGAUGAACGCUAGCGGCAGGCCUAAUACAUGCAAGCUGAACGGUAAAUAUUGUAGCAAUACAAUAUGAGAGUAGCGUAAGGGUGCGUAACACGUAUGCAAUCUGCCCUGUACAGGAGGAUAGCUCGGCGAAAGCCGGAUUAAUACUCCGUAAUAUUAUGGAAAGGCAUCUUUUUAUAAUUAAAGUCGCAAGAUGGUACAGGAUGAGCAUGCGUCUGAUUAGCUAGUUGGUAGUGUAACGGACUACCAAGGCGAUGAUCAGUAGGGGAACUGAGAGGUUGAUCCCCCACACUGGCACUGAGAUACGGGCCAGACUCCUACGGGAGGCAGCAGUAGGGAAUAUUGGUCAAUGGAUGCAAGUCUGAACCAGCCAUGCCGCGUGCAGGAAGAAGGCCUUCUGGGUUGUAAACUGCUUUUGCCGGGGGAUAAAAUUCCCAUGCGUGGGACAUUGAAGGUACCCGGUGAAUAAGCCACGGCUAACUACGUGCCAGCAGCCGCGGUAAUACGUAGGUGGCAAGCGUUGUCCGGAUUUAUUGGGUUUAAAGGGUGCGUAGGCGGCCUAUUAAGUCAGUUCUGAAAUAUCCCGGCUUAACCGGGAGGGUGGGAUUGAUACUGAUGGGCUUGAGUGGAGUCGAGGUAGGCGGAAUUGACGGUGUAGCGGUGAAAUGCUUAGAUAUCGUCAAGAACACCGAUAGUGUAGACAGCUUACUAGACUUCAACUGACGCUGAGGCACGAAAGUGUGGGGAUCAAACAGGAUUAGAUACCCUGGUAGUCCACACUGUAAACGUUGAUUACUCGCUGUGUGCGAUAUACAGUACGCGGCUUAGCGAAAGCGAUAAGUAAUCCACCUGGGGAGUACGCCGGCAACGGUGAAACUCAAAGGAAUUGACGG